GACGAACGCUGGCGGCGUGCUUAACACAUGCAAGUCGAACGGAAAGGCCCUGCUUCUGUGGGGUGCUCGAGUGGCGAACGGGUGAGUAACACGUGAGUAACCUGCCCUUGACUUUGGGAUAACUUCAGGAAACUGGGGCUAAUACCGGAUAGGAGCUCCUGCUGCAUGGUGGGGGUUGGAAAGUUUCGGCGGUUGGGGAUGGACUCGCGGCUUAUCAGCUUGUUGGUGGGGUAGUGGCUUACCAAGGCUUUGACGGGUAGCCGGCCUGAGAGGGUGACCGGCCACAUUGGGACUGAGAUACGGCCCAGACUCCUACGGGGGGCAGCAGUGGGGAAUAUUGCACAAUGGGCGGAAGCCUGAUGCAGCAACGCCGCGUGCGGGAUGACGGCCUUCGGGUUGUAAACCGCUUUCGCCUGUGACGAAGCGUGAGUGACGGUAAUGGGUAAAGAAGCACCGGCUAACUACGUG
This 468-nucleotide ribosomal RNA is filed under the name uncultured bacterium. Its description in RNAcentral is "partial 16S ribosomal RNA". It matches the Rfam family "Bacterial small subunit ribosomal RNA", at positions 28 to 507 of the family's 1533-position model. The record is from RNAcentral.